RNAcentral lists this unclassified non-coding RNA (329 nucleotides) under soil metagenome. RNAcentral describes it as "partial contains 5.8S ribosomal RNA, internal transcribed spacer 2, and large subunit ribosomal RNA". The stretch from base 1 to 120 matches the Rfam family "5.8S ribosomal RNA", at positions 35 to 154 of the family's 154-position model. The record is from RNAcentral.
GAUGAAGGACGUAGCGAAAUGCGAUAAGUAAUGUGAAUUGCAGAAUUCAGUGAAUCAUCGAAUCUUUGAACGCACAUUGCGCCCCCUGGUAUUCCGGGGGGCAUGCCUGUCCGAGCGUCAUUACAACCCUCAAGCUCAGCUUGGUGUUGGGCCCCGCCGCCCCGGCGGGCCCUAAAGUCAGUGGCGGUGCCGUCCGGCUCCGAGCGUAGUAAUUCUUCUCGCUCUGGAGGUCCGGUCGUGUGCUCGCCAGCAACCCCCAAUUUUUUUCAGGUUGACCUCGGAUCAGGUAGGGAUACCCGCUGAACUUAAGCAUAUCAAUAAGCGGAGGA